Molecule: long non-coding RNA, 638 nt
Organism: Candoia aspera
Lineage: Eukaryota; Metazoa; Chordata; Lepidosauria; Squamata; Candoiidae
Exons: 3
Source: RefSeq, a predicted model, not a curated record
UUAUUGGGUCGUCGAUAGUAAGGAAGGAGAUGGAAAGAGUUAGGAUCUUGAAAUGUGAAGCUGAAAGAACAUUUUUUGAAAUUCUGUACGAAGGAAGAAUAAGAGGGCACCUUCCUUUGCGUGCCGGGCAGAUAGGAUCUUGAACUAACGGAAAGAUACAUUUUUCAUUGCUGAAUUUAAAAAACAGGAUCUAUUAGUAUGAUGAGCAUCUCCAAGAUUACAGUGAACUCAGACAUUGUUAUACCACCAGUUAAGGAUGGUCUCAUGAAUUAUUUAUACUGGAAUUACCAAUGAGCUGCCAUAAGUGGAAUGAAAAAAAUGGGAGAAUUAAAUUCUGUGUUCCAAAGAAAAAUAGAGACUACAAGCUGUAAUUGAAGAUUGUAUCUCAAGAACUUGCUUAAUAUUUAAGUAUGUAGCCUUAUACCUGUAGAACUUGUUUUUUUUUUUUUUUUUAAACUUUGAAAGUCUAAUGACAUGGUAGGGAGGGGAGAGAUGGUGAAAGUAAUAAGAUAUAUUUUAUUAUGUAUCUUAAAUCAUUUUCUCCCAAGUGGAUGCUGUGCUUAGAAUCUAGUUAUCCAUUUUGUAGUGUAGUGGAUAUAUUUUUGAAACUAUUGACAUACAGAAAGUGCUGUUGCAUA